GCCCGUCCACCGAACGGUCGGCAGGCGAUCCGCCUAGGUCUCGUGAGGUGGUAUGGUUCCCCAGAGGCCGGUUCUUGUGCUGCCUACCCGUUCAAGGGAAGCUGGCCGCUCGAUGUAAGCCUCCAUCCGGCGCCUUCCAACGGGCGCAGGAGGACAACGGAGCACCCCCCGCGUUCCACCGGUCCAUCUCGGUCGCGUGGCCCGUGGGGACGUGCGAUGCUCUCGGACCCAGCGAACGCCGUGGGCGAGGACUCACGUCCCAGUCCCGAAAAGAAGCUCCGAUAUAAUGCUGACGGCCUCCCCCGUCCCCCGACCGGCGCGGGGGCGAGGCGCGGCGUCGCGGAGGAAUGCUACCU
This 356-nucleotide unclassified non-coding RNA is filed under the name Acacia georginae. RNAcentral describes it as "partial external transcribed spacer". Lineage: Eukaryota; Viridiplantae; Streptophyta; Magnoliopsida; Fabales; Fabaceae. The record is from RNAcentral.